Molecule: ribosomal RNA, 983 nt
Filed under: uncultured Acinetobacter sp.
Lineage: Bacteria; Pseudomonadati; Pseudomonadota; Gammaproteobacteria; Moraxellales; Moraxellaceae
Description: bacterial SSU rRNA
Rfam family: Bacterial small subunit ribosomal RNA
Source: RNAcentral
UCGAGCGGAGAGAGGUAGCUUGCUACUGAUCUUAGCGGCGGACGGGUGAGUAAUGCUUAGGAAUCUGCCUAUUAGUGGGGGACAACAUUUCGAAAGGAAUGCUAAUACCGCAUACGUCCUACGGGAGAAAGCAGGGGAUCUUCGGACCUUGCGCUAAUAGAUGAGCCUAAGUCGGAUUAGCUAGUUGGUGGGGUAAAGGCCUACCAAGGCGACGAUCUGUAGCGGGUCUGAGAGGAUGAUCCGCCACACUGGGACUGAGACACGGCCCAGACUCCUACGGGAGGCAGCAGUGGGGAAUAUUGGACAAUGGGCGCAAGCCUGAUCCAGCCAUGCCGCGUGUGUGAAGAAGGCCUUAUGGUUGUAAAGCACUUUAAGCGAGGAGGAGGCUACUUUAGUUAAUACCUAGAGAUAGUGGACGUUACUCGCAGAAUAAGCACCGGCUAACUCUGUGCCAGCAGCCGCGGUAAUACAGAGGGUGCAAGCGUUAAUCGGAUUUACUGGGCGUAAAGCGCGCGUAGGCGGCUAAUUAAGUCAAAUGUGAAAUCCCCGAGCUUAACUUGGGAAUUGCAUUCGAUACUGGUUAGCUAGAGUGUGGGAGAGGAUGGUAGAAUUCCAGGUGUAGCGGUGAAAUGCGUAGAGAUCUGGAGGAAUACCGAUGGCGAAGGCAGCCAUCUGGCCUAACACUGACGCUGAGGUGCGAAAGCAUGGGGAGCAAACAGGAUUAGAUACCCUGGUAGUCCAUGCCGUAAACGAUGUCUACUAGCCGUUGGGGCCUUUGAGGCUUUAGUGGCGCAGCUAACGCGAUAAGUAGACCGCCUGGGGAGUACGGUCGCAAGACUAAAACUCAAAUGAAUUGACGGGGGCCCGCACAAGCGGUGGAGCAUGUGGUUUAAUUCGAUGCAACGCGAAGAACCUUACCUGGCCUUGACAUAGUAAGAACUUUCCAGAGAUGGAUUGGUGCCUUCGGGAACUUACAUACAGGU